GUCGAACGAACUCUGGUAUUGAUUGGUGCUUGCAUCAUGAUUUACAUUUGAGUGAGUGGCGAACUGGUGAGUAACACGUGGGAAACCUGCCCAGAAGCGGGGGAUAACACCUGGAAACAGAUGCUAAUACCGCAUAACAACUUGGACCGCAUGGUCCGAGCUUGAAAGAUGGCUUCGGCUAUCACUUUUGGAUGGUCCCGCGGCGUAUUAGCUAGAUGGUGGGGUAACGGCUCACCAUGGCAAUGAUACGUAGCCGACCUGAGAGGGUAAUCGGCCACAUUGGGACUGAGACACGGCCCAAACUCCUACGGGAGGCAGCAGUAGGGAAUCUUCCACAAUGGACGAAAGUCUGAUGGAGCAACGCCGCGUGAGUGAAGAAGGGUUUCGGCUCGUAAAACUCUGUUGUUAAAGAAGAACAUAUCUGAGAGUAACUGUUCAGGUAUUGACGGUAUUUAACCAGAAAGCCACGGCUAACUACGUGCCAGCAGCCGCGGUAAUACGUAGGUGGCAAGCGUUGUCCGGAUUUAUUGGGCGUAAAGCGAGCGCAGGCGGUUUUUUAAGUCUGAUGUGAAAGCCUUCGGCUCAACCGAAGAAGUGCAUCGGAAACUGGGAAACUUGAGUGCAGAAGAGGACAGUGGAACUCCAUGUGUAGCGGUGAAAUGCGUAGAUAUAUGGAAGAACACCAGUGGCGAAGGCGGCUGUCUGGUCUGUAACUGACGCUGAGGCUCGAAAGUAUGGGUAGCAAACAGGAUUAGAUACCCUGGUAGUCCAUACCGUAAACGAUGAAUGCUAAGUGUUGGAGGGUUUCCGCCCUUCAGUGCUGCAGCUAACGCAUUAAGCAUUCCGCCUGGGGAGUACGGCCGCAAGGCUGAAACUCAAAGGAAUUGACGGGGGCCCGCACAAGCGGUGGAGCAUGUGGUUUAAUUCGAAGCUACGCGAAGAACCUUACCAGGUCUUGACAUACUAUGCAAAUCUAAGAGAUUAGACGUUCCCUUCGGGGACAUGGAUACAGGUGGUGCAUGGUUGUCGUCA
This 1032-nucleotide ribosomal RNA is filed under the name Lactiplantibacillus plantarum. RNAcentral's name for it is "bacterial SSU rRNA". It matches the Rfam family "Bacterial small subunit ribosomal RNA", at positions 61 to 1057 of the family's 1533-position model. Lineage: Bacteria; Bacillati; Bacillota; Bacilli; Lactobacillales; Lactobacillaceae. The record is from RNAcentral.